AGUUUAAAACCUUACCCCCCACUUGAUUCCUCAUUCCCUGCAUAUUGGUAUACACUCAUUACUCUCACACUCUCUCGAUCUCUAUACAACAAACAUAGAGAAAUCAGUUUUUCACACAAAACUCUCUCACCCAACCCCCAGCUCCUCACCCACCCGUUUCACCUCUCUCCCUCUCCGGCGCGUGCUCCGGCGAUGAACCGGCUCUGAUCGGAGUCUCCGGCGACAGCCGCACCCCACACCUAUAUACCCCCCCCUCUGAUGACAUUCUGACGGCGGAGAGCCGUCGCCGUGCGGCGGCGUGACGGCAAGACAAAAACAGAGGAGAGAGAACGAUCGAAGAAGAGAGAGGCCAAGAGAGAGAGAAAGAAACCGGCAGUCGGAGGUUCGGACCGCCGGUCGGUUCUGAUAUCCGGUGGUCAAUUCGUUUUUCCGGCCGAAUGAUGGUUGUUUCGGGCAGAGGCGGCGCGAUGGUGGUCUUGUUCCGACCGGUUGUCCGGUCAGCAGAGGUGGUCUCCGGUUCAGAUCUGGUGCAAUGGGAUCAGCGGUUCGGCUCAGGUCAACAUUCAUUUUCGGGUCACGACUUAGCUUCGGGUCAGAUUUCGGGACUGGGUUGACUCGGUUGAGUCAACUAAGUCAACAGAUGGGUUCGGCUCAACAGUGGUUCAAGCAUGUUCGGGUCAGCUUGGUUCGUGUUAGUUUAUGAAGCGGUUCGGUCGACUCGGUCAACCGAGUCGACUCGGUCAACUCAGUCAUCGAUUCGACAUUUGACACGAAGACUUGAUAAAAAUUAACAGCGUAUUUAUUUCAUUAUGUUAUUUUUAUAAUAUUAAUUCCUACGUGAACGAGCUCGAACCGAUUUAGUUUACUAUUUAGUUUAUAUUUCGUCA
Long non-coding RNA from Helianthus annuus (common sunflower), 887 nucleotides. RefSeq lists it as uncharacterized. Lineage: Eukaryota; Viridiplantae; Streptophyta; Magnoliopsida; Asterales; Asteraceae. The record is from RefSeq and is a predicted model, not a curated record. The transcript is spliced from 2 exons.